UACGUAGGGUCCGAGCGUUGUCCGGAAUUAUUGGGCGUAAAGAGCUCGUAGGCGGUUUGUCGCGUCUGCUGUGAAAUUUCGGGGCUCAACCCCGAACUUGCAGUGGGUACGGGCAGACUAGAGUGUGGUAGGGGAGACUGGAAUUCCUGGUGUAGCGGUGAAAUGCGCAGAUAUCAGGAGGAACACCGAUGGCGAAGGCAGGUCUCUGGGCCAUAACUGACGCUGAGAAGCGAAAGCAUGGGGAGCGAACAGG
This 253-nucleotide ribosomal RNA is filed under the name uncultured bacterium. RNAcentral describes it as "partial 16S ribosomal RNA". It matches the Rfam family "Bacterial small subunit ribosomal RNA", at positions 524 to 776 of the family's 1533-position model. The record is from RNAcentral.